UGCGAUGAGUCGAGAGAUCACGCAACUUCGGUUGUUCGCGCAAUCGAUUUAAGUGAUGUUUUGAGCGGGACACAUUUUCUGCACGGAUUUGCAGGUGUUUGGUUCUAGAGGAUUGUGGAAUCC
RNAcentral lists this non-coding RNA (123 nucleotides) under Lentilactobacillus curieae. RNAcentral describes it as "Lactobacillus curieae Enterococcus sRNA 68 (Lacto-3 RNA)". It matches the Rfam family "Enterococcus sRNA 68 (Lacto-3 RNA)". From Rfam's summary of the family: Name 'Ref' stands for RNA in E. faecalis. Also known as Lacto-3 RNA. The record is from Rfam by way of RNAcentral. Lineage: Bacteria; Bacillati; Bacillota; Bacilli; Lactobacillales; Lactobacillaceae.